GAUGAACGCUGGCGGCGUGCCUAAUACAUGCAAGUCGAGCGAACGGACGAGAAGCUUGCUUCUCUGAUGUUAGCGGCGGACGGGUGAGUAACACGUGGAUAACCUACCUAUAAGAUUGGGAUAACUUCGGGAAACCGUAGCUAAUACCGGAUAAUAUUUUGAACCGCAUGGUUCAAAAGUGAAAGACGGUCUUGCUGUCACUUAUAGAUGGAUCCGCGCUGCAUUAGCUAGUUGGUAAGGUAACGGCUUACCAAGGCAACGAUGCAUAGCCGACCUGAGAGGGUGAUCGGCCACACUGGAACUGAGACACGGUCCAGACUCCUACGGGAGGCAGCAGUAGGGAAUCUUCCGCAAUGGGCGAAAGCCUGACGGAGCAACGCCGCGUGAGUGAUGAAGGUCUUCGGAUCGUAAAACUCUGUUAUUAGGGAAGAACAUAUGUGUAAGUAACUAUGCACAUCUUGACGGUACCUAAUCAGAAAGCCACGGCUAACUACGUG
RNAcentral lists this ribosomal RNA (497 nucleotides) under uncultured bacterium. Its description in RNAcentral is "partial 16S ribosomal RNA". It matches the Rfam family "Bacterial small subunit ribosomal RNA", at positions 28 to 507 of the family's 1533-position model. The record is from RNAcentral.